CCUAAGAACGCUGGCGGCGUGCUUAACACAUGCAAGUCGCGUGCGCGGUUCCGUAGCAAUACGGGAUGGGCGCACGGCGCACGGGUGCGUAACACGUGGGCAAUCUGCCCUCCGAUGGGGAAUAACCCCGCGAAAGCGGGGCUAAUACCGCAUAACAUUCCUUGGACUACGGUUUGAGGACUCAAAGCAGCAAUGCGUCGGAGGAGGAGCCCGCGCCCGAUUAGCUAGUUGGUGAGGUAACGGCUCACCAAGGCAAUGAUCGGUAGCUGGUCUGAGAGGAUGGCCAGCCACACUGGAACUGAGACACGGUCCAGACUCCUACGGGAGGCAGCAGUGGGGAAUCUUGCGCAAUGGGCGAAAGCCUGACGCAGCGACGCCGCGUGGGGGAUGAAGCUUCUCGGAGUGUAAACCCCUUUCGACUGGGACGAAUGCCCCGCAAGGGAGUGACGGUACCAGUAGAAGAAGCCCCGGCUAACUACGUGCCAGCAGCUGCGGUAAGACGUAGGGGGCCAGCGUUGUUCGGAAUUACUGGGUGUAAAGGGUUCGUA
Molecule: ribosomal RNA, 548 nt
Filed under: uncultured bacterium
Lineage: Bacteria
Description: bacterial SSU rRNA
Rfam family: Bacterial small subunit ribosomal RNA
Source: RNAcentral